UACGUAGGCAGCAAGCGUUGUUCGGAAUUACUGGGCGUAAAGGGCGCGUAGGCGGCCUUCUAAGUCAGACGUGAAAUCCCCCGGCUUAACCUGGGAACUGCGUCUGAUACUGGGAGGCUUGAGUAUGGGAGAGGGAUGUAGAAUUCCAGGUGUAGCGGUGAAAUGCGUAGAUAUCUGGAGGAAUACCGGUGGCGAAGGCGGCAUCCUGGACCAUAACUGACGCUGAGGCGCGAAAGCUAGGGGAGCAAACGGG
This 253-nucleotide ribosomal RNA is filed under the name uncultured bacterium. RNAcentral's name for it is "partial 16S ribosomal RNA". It matches the Rfam family "Bacterial small subunit ribosomal RNA", at positions 524 to 776 of the family's 1533-position model. The record is from RNAcentral.